Molecule: ribosomal RNA, 705 nt
Filed under: Triticum aestivum (bread wheat)
Lineage: Eukaryota; Viridiplantae; Streptophyta; Magnoliopsida; Poales; Poaceae
Description: partial small subunit ribosomal RNA
Source: RNAcentral
AUGAAGCUCGUCUCUCUGCUAGCCGAUGCUGCUCUCUGUUGGCCUGUUGUUGCUGCUCCGCUGCCUGCUAGCUGCUUCUUGCCCGGUCUCUACUGCUGCUCCGCGGCUGCUGCUCUACUCCUCCACGGCCACCGCCGCCGCAAGCCACUGCUGCUGAGGAGCGCCACCAGGAAUCAACCUGCCGCCUGUAGGAACGCGCCGUCGCGGUUCCCGUUGUUCCUGUUGCAGCCAGUCAUUGCUCCCUGCUUGCAGCCGUUGGUGACGCGCCUGAGGGCUGACUGGAUCGGGGCCGGAGUGGCCGAAUCGCGGUGGAGCGGCGCACAAGAAGGUGGUGGUGGCCAGGUCGUCGCAGUGGCGCUAGCCCUCACGGCCGGAGCGGGAAUGGAGGAGAUAACCAGGGCGGAGCGGGCAUGCAUGGCUGGCGGCUGGAGAUUGGCUUCUUCAACGGAGAAGAGGAGGGAAUGGUUAGUAGGGCUCGAUGAGAAGCUGCGUAAUGGAGAAGGCGAGCUUCUCGAUCUUGACAGCACGGCUGUCGUCGGCGUCCUUGGAGGCAACGUGGGCGUGGAUCUCAUCUCCCACAUCCAGUUUGAAUCCACCUCGAUUGUGAGGAUGCUGGCGGCGUUAUCUUCGAUCGCAUCGUGGCCGUCCCUGAGCGAGGCGCCCCGGCAGGUCAUCUUCAUCCUCGACGGCGGAAGCCUGACUUAG